UUAGCUCGCCCACCGCCUAGCAACUGUUGGAAUAACGAUACGUGAUAACACAACUGUUUGACUUCUGGGGACUUCACAUCUCUUUUCGAGUCAAGCCCGACAACACUUUUCUAAACUAAAAAGAGACACAAUGGAGAGAGAUCAGGAUUGCAGCACCAGGACCUAGGUGGAAGUGAACUUUGGUUGCUACAAUAAUGGUGUUGUACGCAACAAGGACCUCUUCAAUCUCUUUUUCCUGACAGUAUCCAUUUGGAUUUCGAUACUUUUCAAGAAUAAAUAGCACUGGAAAUUUCAGUGCUUCCAACUUUGCAGAAAUGUGGGAUGGCCAAGUCUCAGAGUGCUAAGCUUCAAGGAUCAUGUCAGCACCAGCUCAGAGUUCCAGUUUUCUGAACAUUGUAUCCUGUGAGCAAGAGACUCUGUCCAACCUCUCUUCAGUCAAGUCUGGACCCAAUAAGACAGCAGUCUCAAGGACAAUUAAUGAUAGAUCAUGCCAAUCCACAUUGAAAUAGUGAGAACAUUCAAGUCUUCAAGCAGUACAUUUCCAGUUUCUCGAACUGACUCAGUCCCAUGUCUUCCGUCAAGUGUGGACUCAUUACUGUUGUUCAACCAGACAAGCGGCCCUGAUUGAUGUUUAUGUCAUCAUUGAUUAUCCUGAAUUUAUAUGGACACAUUUUAUUUCCAAGAUCAACACGUCUUUGUGAGUACACUGGUCAAGUUAUUGGAUCAGCUCAGACUGUUUUAACACAGUGCCUGUGUGCAGAAUCUGUUUCUUUAAAAUCUAAUAAUUAUGGUUUGUGCCUUGAUUUACUAUAGACAGUAUUUAUUAGUUAAUUUAGCAAUUCCAAUAACCUGACUGAUUACUGUAAAAUCUGUGGCAAACAACUGUAAUGCCUUUUGUAUUUUACCGU
Long non-coding RNA from Labeo rohita (rohu), 908 nucleotides. RefSeq lists it as uncharacterized. Lineage: Eukaryota; Metazoa; Chordata; Actinopteri; Cypriniformes; Cyprinidae. The transcript is spliced from 6 exons. The record is from RefSeq and is a predicted model, not a curated record.